RNAcentral lists this ribosomal RNA (253 nucleotides) under uncultured bacterium. RNAcentral's name for it is "partial 16S ribosomal RNA". It matches the Rfam family "Bacterial small subunit ribosomal RNA", at positions 524 to 776 of the family's 1533-position model. The record is from RNAcentral.
UACAGAGACUGCAAGCGUUAUUCGGAUUCACUGGGCGUAAAGGGUGCGCAGGCGGCCGGGUGUGUCAGAUGUGAAAUCCCUCAGCUUAACUGGGGAACUGCGUCUGAUACUGGCGAGCUUGAGUGCAGGAGAGGAACGCGGAAUUCCAGGUGUAGCGGUGAAAUGCGUAGAUAUCUGGAGGAACACCGGUGGCGAAGGCGGCGUUCUGGACUGCAACUGACACUGAUGAACGAAAGCCAGGGGAGCAAACGGG